Vigna unguiculata (cowpea) is the source of this 2467-nucleotide long non-coding RNA. The record is from RefSeq and is a predicted model, not a curated record. Lineage: Eukaryota; Viridiplantae; Streptophyta; Magnoliopsida; Fabales; Fabaceae.
AUGGGCACAAUCAUCUUCAGCAACUUUACAUAUCAAACUUAACAACCGUAAUUCAUACUUUAUCUAAAGCUUUACUUUUUCAUUAAAGAGAAAACCACCUACUCCACAACCAAGAUUACUGCAAGGUUGAAUAAUUAUACCCAUGUACUUUGCAAUUAAUACAAAUUUGUCCUGAUUCUAUUGUGACAACUCAUUAUAAACAUUAAUAACAGACAUUUAACUGCCAAAUGCUUCCAUAAGACUUAGAUAACCUGAAAUAAACUAGCAGCAGCAGGUUGUUCAAGUCUAUGAUUGAAAAUUUGAUUGCCAUAUGCUUAGAUAAAACCGAGAUGAAGACAUCGUCUCGGUCCUGAUUAAGAACAUGAUUAAGGUUAGACACCCUAAAUAUAGCAUGCAUUACUUAGGUAUUUCGAGAUUAGACCUAAUGAAGGCCUAUUCUGGAAAAAAAUCCAUGUAGUAAGAGUUAUAAAAGGAGAUAUUUAUGAGAUAAAGAUGAUUUACUUAUUUAUUGUUACUGUUACGGUAUAUAAUAUUCAUGGUUAUCAAACUCGCGAGUUAACUCGUUAACUCGGACGAGUUUGCGUGCCUGGUCAUGCCCAGCGAGUUAACUCGCAAGCAAACUCGGUUUUGAAGCAGAAUCGGUGGACUCGUGAAUGAACUCGCCGGAAUCGUUCAAACUCGCGAGUUUUCAGCGAGUUCGCGAGUUCAAAAGGGGAAAAAAUUGGAAAUCGAAACGGGGUCGAGUGGUUGUCGCGAGUCGUUCUGUGGCCAUCGCAACCCCUUUCAUGGCCGUCGCGACCUGUUCCGUGGCCAUCGCGACCUGUCCUGUGGCCAUCGCGAGCACUUCUGUAGCCAUCAACAUCCGUCGAGCAGUUCUGCAGCCUUCGUCCUUGCUCGCGAGUAGUUUUGCGGCCUUCGCACUCCCCAUCGACCACUCUCCUACCGUCAUCCUUGCUCGCUUUGCCGUCGCGGUGGCCGUCGACAACCAUUCCACUUGCGUGUUCUCAAUAGAGCGAGGUUCACGAGUGUGGUUCCUAGGUUUGGGUGUUCUAUUGGCGGAUCUUAUUCACUUAUUCCCAGCUGCAGUGCACUGUUUAAGUGUUUGAAUUUAUUUCAGCUUUGGGUCGAACACAGUCACACUUGCACUGCACCGUUUGUACGAAAAUGAUGAUAUCAUUAGAGGAUUAGACAGAUAUUUGAAUCUAUGAUUUACGGUAUUUGUAUGAAUUUAUUUAUUUUAAAUACUUUUAAACUAUAUAAUUUUAUGGACCGAUUUGAAUUAAGAUAUUAUUUAUAUAAAAUUUGUUUUCAUGUAAAAGAAAUUCUUAUGAGUUUACGAUUCGAGUUUACUAGACUCUCAUGAGUUUACGUAAACUCUCAAAUUUGACAACCUUGAUAAUAUUGUUAACUUGAGUGUUGGAGUGUCUUUAAAAAACUUCGUCUCGGUGUCAUAACAAUUACAUGGCAGACUAAAAGAUGAAGGGGAUUUUAUAAAGACAUUUGGGUCCUUUGUAAAAACACCAAUAGUAUACAGAAUUAGUGCUUCAUAUGAGCAUUGGAUUGUUCAUCAACCUGCUAUUGAUAAAACAGCUGCUUAGGUCCACCAUAUAGAUAAAUAAACCCCUCUGUCCACUUGUCUGCAUUCAAUUCAACGCUCUAUGCACUCUCUACUACAAUAUUAUUCUUCAGUAUUAAUAAUUUAUUUUCUCUUAAGUUGACACCGGAUUCCCAUUGUAAUUCGUAUAAGAUAUUUUUACGUAAUAGAAUAUUCCUUCUUUGUCAACAUUCGUACAAGAAGAAAUAGUGAAUAAUUCCAAGACAUGGGUGAAGUAGAUAGAGCCUUGGCAUUUAUGUAUUUAUAUAGAAUAUAGAGAAUAUUGUUUCAUCUAUUCUCCUGUUCUAUGAAAUAUAUAACUGAUUGUAAGAAUAACCAACAACUCUACCCUCUUUUCUCAUCAUCUCCUUACCCUUCCUCUUUUCUCCUCAGAAGAAGAUCAUGAUGAGGCUAUUAAGGUUCAGAAAUCCACCACUUUUACUGAAGAACAUGCUUCUGGAGCCAUGGCCAAAUGAUGCCACAAGAAAGGAACAAGAAACCUGAUCAGGACAUUUGACCUCAGGAAAUCUGCCCUCUAGGCAAGUCUGAUGCUUGGCUUUUCAUCUCUCUGUCUCUGCUGUUGGGUUUGCUGAGAAUCAAAUAAGGCAUGAAUCAUGUCAUAAGUUUUCUGUUUAAUCAGUAUCCAUCUGGGACAAUAUGUUAUGUAUAUCCUUCUCUGCUCAACAGCAGUUGCAUUUAUACUACUACUUGUAUGAAACUUUUAUCAUACCUCAAGUUUUUUUUUCUUUCUUCUGUUUGUUUAGUUUGGAUUCUUACUUUCUUGUAUUGAUUAUGUACAACCAGCAAGGCCUGGUAAGAAAAAGAACUGUUUUCCCUAAAUUAAUUAAUCAAAGAUAUUAUUUGCUGGAUUUA